RNAcentral lists this long non-coding RNA (367 nucleotides) under Oryza sativa Indica Group (long-grained rice). RNAcentral describes it as "lncRNA OsZS97_03G032400". The record is from RNAcentral. Lineage: Eukaryota; Viridiplantae; Streptophyta; Magnoliopsida; Poales; Poaceae.
AUGGCUCCACCGUACCAGCCCCGCCUCUUUGACCGUCGCUCGCUGUUAGCUUGCUUGUUGUUGCUGCUUGGUGCUGCACGGUUGCACUGCUGUUGUGCCCUCCGCCCUGCUUGCCCCUUCCUCUGCUCUGCCUGCGCUACGCUCAUGCGCGUGCGUGGCCGCUCGCCUGAGCGGCUGAGCCCCUGGGCCCUGGCGGCUAGCCACGCCGCGGCGCUGCCCGGAGCAGAUGACGCCGCGGCAGCUUUGCGCCCCGGAGGCCGAGAGCCUGGCCACGCCCCCACUCCCCUCCGCUUACCCUCCGUGUGCUGUGCGCUGCCAGCACCGCAGCAACCGCCGUCCGCGGAUGGGGAUUGCUAGAUUGGAGGAG